RNAcentral lists this ribosomal RNA (316 nucleotides) under Escherichia coli. RNAcentral's name for it is "bacterial SSU rRNA". It matches the Rfam family "Bacterial small subunit ribosomal RNA", at positions 117 to 427 of the family's 1533-position model. Lineage: Bacteria; Pseudomonadati; Pseudomonadota; Gammaproteobacteria; Enterobacterales; Enterobacteriaceae. The record is from RNAcentral.
GUGGAUAACCUACCUAUAAGACUGGGAUAACUUCGGGAAACCGGAGCUAAUACCGGAUAAUAUUUUGAACCGCAUGCUUCAAAAGUGAAAGACGGUCUUGCUGUCACUUAUAGAUGGAUCCGCGCUGCAUUAGCUAGUUGGUAAGGUAACGGCUUACCAAGGCAACGAUGCAUAGCCGACCUGAGAGGGUGAUCGGCCACACUGGAACUGAGACACGGUCCAGACUCCUACGGGAGGCAGCAGUAGGGAAUCUUCCGCAAUGGGCGAAAGCCUGACGGAGCAACGCCGCGUGAGUGAUGAAGGUCUUCGGAUCGUA